CGAACGCUGGCGGCGUGCUUAACACAUGCAAGUCGAACGCGAAAGGGACUUCGGCCCUGAGUAAAGUGGCGCACGGGUGAGUAACGCGUAGAUAACCUGUCUUCAUGUCUGGAAUAAUACGCCGAAAGGGGUACUAAUACCGGAUAUUCUUGCUUUUCAUAAGUUAUGCAAGCAAAGGUGGCCUCUGCAUAUGCUACUGCAUGAAGAGGGGUCUGCGUACCAUUAGCUAGUAGGUGGGGUAAUGGCCUACCUAGGCGACGAUGGUUAGCGGGUCUGAGAGGAUGAUCCGCCACACUGGCACUGGAACACGGGCCAGACUCCUACGGGAGGCAGCAGUGAGGAAUAUUGCGCAAUGGGGGAAACCCUGACGCAGCGACGCCGCGUGAGUGAAGGAAGGCCUUCGGGUCGUAAAGCUCUGUCAAGAGGAAAGAAGUGUACAAUGGCUAAUACCUGUUGUAUUUGACGGUACCUCUAAAGGAAGCACCGGCUAACUCCGUGCCAGCCGCUGC
Molecule: ribosomal RNA, 509 nt
Filed under: uncultured bacterium
Lineage: Bacteria
Description: bacterial SSU rRNA
Rfam family: Bacterial small subunit ribosomal RNA
Source: RNAcentral